Molecule: ribosomal RNA, 253 nt
Filed under: uncultured bacterium
Lineage: Bacteria
Description: partial 16S ribosomal RNA
Rfam family: Bacterial small subunit ribosomal RNA
Source: RNAcentral
UACGAAGGGGGCUAGCGUUGUUCGGAUUAACUGGGCGUAAAGCGCACGUAGGCGGAUCGUUAAGUCGGGGGUGAAAUCCUGGAGCUCAACUCCAGAACUGCCUUCGAUACUGGCGAUCUUGAGUCCGGAAGAGGUGAGUGGAACUCCUAGUGUAGAGGUGGAAUUCGUAGAUAUUAGGAAGAACACCAGUGGCGAAGGCGGCUCACUGGUCCGGUACUGACGCUGAGGUGCGAAAGCGUGGGGAGCAAACAGG